Non-coding RNA from Silurus meridionalis, 558 nucleotides. The record is from the annotation of a RefSeq genome assembly. NCBI's taxonomy places the organism in Eukaryota, Metazoa, Chordata, Actinopteri, Siluriformes, Siluridae.
GACCUUUGACAUCAUUUCCUCCAGCUGAUCCUCAUCAGGAUGUAGAUAUAGGAGUCUGUGUUUCUCAUUGCCUACUACUUCUCUUGGCACUGUAAACCAUUAUGAUCAGACUCAUAAUUAGUCUGAAUUUCCUGCUUUACUGGACUCCAGUUUUAACUGAAGACAAUGUAGUCACCCAAAUCCCCAGUGUCGCCUGGCAUCUGAAAGGAGAAUCUGCUGAAAUAAAGUGCAGUCAUAAUAAAGAUUUUAAUUAUAAUCAGAUGUACUGGUACAUCCAGCGACAAGGAGAGAGUAUGGAGCUCAUCGUGUACACAACAGCCAGUAGUAAAGAGUUUGGCUCUGUUGACAAAAAUAAAUUUUCGACUGUUAAAGAAAUUGCCCAAAAUGGAUCAUUAACUGUGAAGAAUCUGGAUACAGGGGACAGCGCUGUAUAUUUCUGUGCAGUAAAAGAACACAGUGUUACAGAGCUACUGUACUGCUGAACAAAAACACCUGCACAGAUGUUGCUGCAGUAACAACACACAAAAGAAGUGCACAUUUAAUAAAUAAUUAUUAUAA